GUCCGUGUGGCGCAAUGGUAGCGCGUUGGACUUCUACAUUUGCUGUUUACGUAAGUUGGAGUGUAUCCAAAGGCUGUGGGUUCGAGCCCCACCACGGAUG
Non-coding RNA from Amniculicola lignicola CBS 123094, 100 nucleotides. Lineage: Eukaryota; Fungi; Ascomycota; Dothideomycetes; Pleosporales; Amniculicolaceae. The record is from the annotation of a GenBank genome assembly.